GAGUUUGAUCAUGGCUCAGAUUGAACGCUGGCGGCAGGCUUAACACAUGCAAGUCGAGCGGAGAUGAGGUGCUUGCACCUUAUCUUAGCGGCGGACGGGUGAGUAAUGCUUAGGAAUCUGCCUAUUAGUGGGGGACAACAUUCCGAAAGGAAUGCUAAUACCGCAUACGUCCUACGGGAGAAAGCAGGGGAUCUUCGGACCUUGCGCUAAUAGAUGAGCCUAAGUCGGAUUAGCUAGUUGGUGGGGUAAAGGCCUACCAAGGCGACGAUCUGUAGCGGGUCUGACGAGGAUGAUCCGCCACACUGGGACUGAGACACGGCCCAGACUCCUACGGGAGGCAGCAGUGGGGAAUAUUGG
Molecule: ribosomal RNA, 357 nt
Filed under: uncultured microorganism
Description: bacterial SSU rRNA
Rfam family: Bacterial small subunit ribosomal RNA
Source: RNAcentral